GAAGUCUUUCAAGGAAGGGUUAAAGAGUCACGUGCCAAUUAGCUUUUCUCCCAAGGCAGCACUUAGAAUCACAGUGCUGAGAAGAAGUGGGAUAAUGAGAGGGUUGCUGGUUGUGAUAUCGCCUCCCUGGGACACUUCAGGAACGGUGACGAGACUAAUUGGCUGGUCUGGCGAACAACUCGAGAUGAGUCCAAAAGGAGGAGCCAGCUGCCGGCAGGAAGGGAAUGGAAAUUCACCUUCGCGCUGGCCCUUCAGCGGGGGGAGCACAGAUGGUGAAAAGCAGAACUGCUCGCGAGAGAGCAAAGGCCCUUUUUCUAAAUCAGCUGCCAAGAGGGGAACAAAGAGGAUUUGCCAGUGCCUCUGGGGAACAGCCUUUGCUCUCGCUUCAAGAUCAUCUAAGGAGUUUGCCCACAUCGCAAACGUGGAAGAAACAGAUACUGAGAAAUUCAGCUGCUUGCCCCAGAACCUACCGCUAAUAAGUGGGAGAGUCAGAUCUUGAACCAGCGAGUCUGGCUCUAGAACUCUUUACAGACACGUUCCCUGUCCUCGACCAUCUUACAGUUUCUUCUUCAUAAGAGUUCCGUGAUUCCUCUCAGAAAUAAAGAAGCGGUAUUUGAGGAGAGAUGGAGAAAUUCUGGGAACCCAAGCCCUCUUGGACGAAGCAGUAACCUCAGCUUCCGUGAUAUGUACCCUGAUUCUAAUCGUCCUCUGGACCAACAUCGACUCCACCUCUUCAGUCUCUCAUCCCCUUGGUGUCCUCUCUUUGCCCAGCUCGCAAAAUCACCCCCAGGCAGCCACACCUACCAAAAAAGGUAGAGAAUAUCUAUCAGAGAUACUGAUGACACCUUGAAGGAUUUUAAGCAGGGUAGUGA
RNAcentral lists this long non-coding RNA (872 nucleotides) under Equus asinus (donkey). Its description in RNAcentral is "lncRNA (ENSEASG00005035954.1)". Lineage: Eukaryota; Metazoa; Chordata; Mammalia; Perissodactyla; Equidae. The record is from RNAcentral.